GGCUUGUUGAUUAUAAUUUCAAGUYUGACCUGCCCACUGAGGAAUUAAAUGGCCGCGGUAUACUGACCGUGCAAAGGUAGCAUAAUCAUUAGUUUUUUAAUUAAAAGCUAGAAUGAAAGGUUUGAUGAGAAAAAUACUGUCUCUGUUGGAAUUUAUUAGAAUUUUAUUUUUAAGUAAAAAAGCUUAAAUAUAUAUAGAAGACGAGAAGACCCUAUAGAGUUUUAUAUUCAAUUAAGGGGUUAGUUUUGAGGAAUAAAAGCUGGAGCUUUAAUUUAGUAUUUUGUUGGGGUGGUAGAAAAAUUAGAAUAACUUUUUUUAUAUAAAGACAUUUAUUUGUGAUUAGAUGAUCCUAAAAUUUAGAUUAUAAGAUUAAAUUACCUUAGGGAUAACAGCGUAAUUUUUUUUAGAGUUCUUAUCGAAAAAAAAGAUUGCGACCUCGAUGUUGGAUUAAAAUUAAUUAUUGGUGUAGAAGCUAAUAGAUUAGGUCUGUUCGACCUUUAAAAUUUUACAUGAUCUGAGUUUAAACCGGSGKGRG
RNAcentral lists this ribosomal RNA (535 nucleotides) under Trigonopterus sp. 666 AR-2022a. Its description in RNAcentral is "partial large subunit ribosomal RNA". The record is from RNAcentral. Lineage: Eukaryota; Metazoa; Arthropoda; Insecta; Coleoptera; Curculionidae.